CCGGCGGCGCACGAUGAGCCCGCGGCCUAUCAGCUUGUUGGUGAGGCAGCGGCUCACCAAGGGGACCACGCCCACCCCCCCUGCCACCCUCUCCGGACACCAUGUGACCCCCCCCAUGCCCCCCCUGCCACCCGACCACAAGGCGGCCCCUAUCCCCCCAGGUUUCCGCCGCACGUCCAGCCUCGCCACGGG
RNAcentral lists this ribosomal RNA (192 nucleotides) under uncultured Streptomyces sp. Its description in RNAcentral is "partial 16S ribosomal RNA". Lineage: Bacteria; Bacillati; Actinomycetota; Actinomycetes; Kitasatosporales; Streptomycetaceae. The record is from RNAcentral.